GACGAACGCUGGCGGCGUGCCUAAUACAUGCAAGUCGAACGCUGAAGGAGGAGCUUGCUCUUCUGGAUGAGUUGCGAACGGGUGAGUAACGCGUAGGUAACCUGCCUUGUAGCGGGGGAUAACUAUUGGAAACGAUAGCUAAUACCGCAUAACAGUAGAUGUUGCAUGACAUUUACUUAAAAGGUGCAAUUGCAUCACUACCAGAUGGACCUGCGUUGUAUUAGCUAGUUGGUGGGGUAACGGCUCACCAAGGCGACGAUACAUAGCCGACCUGAGAGGGUGAUCGGCCACACUGGGACUGAGACACGGCCCAGACUCCUACGGGAGGCAGCAGUAGGGAUUCUUCGGCAAUGGACGGAAGUCUGACCGAGCAACGCCGCGUGAGUGAAGAAGGUUUUCGGAUCGUAGAGCUCUGUUGUAAGGGAAGAACGAGUGUGAGAGUGGAAAGUUCACACUGUGACGGUAUCUUACCAGAAAGGGACGGCUAACUACGUG
RNAcentral lists this ribosomal RNA (495 nucleotides) under uncultured bacterium. RNAcentral describes it as "partial 16S ribosomal RNA". It matches the Rfam family "Bacterial small subunit ribosomal RNA", at positions 28 to 507 of the family's 1533-position model. The record is from RNAcentral.